This 709-nucleotide ribosomal RNA is filed under the name uncultured Providencia sp. Its description in RNAcentral is "bacterial SSU rRNA". It matches the Rfam family "Bacterial small subunit ribosomal RNA", at positions 794 to 1502 of the family's 1533-position model. The record is from RNAcentral. Lineage: Bacteria; Pseudomonadati; Pseudomonadota; Gammaproteobacteria; Enterobacterales; Morganellaceae.
GUCACGCUGUAAACGAUGUCGAUUUGGAGGUUGUUCCCUUGAGGAGUGGCUUCCGGAGCUAACGCGUUAAAUCGACCGCCUGGGGAGUACGGCCGCAAGGUUAAAACUCAAAUGAAUUGACGGGGGCCCGCACAAGCGGUGGAGCAUGUGGUUUAAUUCGAUGCAACGCGAAGAACCUUACCUACUCUUGACAUCCAGAGAAUUUAGCAGAGAUGCUUUAGUGCCUUCGGGAACUCUGAGACAGGUGCUGCAUGGCUGUCGUCAGCUCGUGUUGUGAAAUGUUGGGUUAAGUCCCGCAACGAGCGCAACCCUUAUCCUUUGUUGCCAGCACGUUAUGGUGGGAACUCAAAGGAGACUGCCGGUGAUAAACCGGAGGAAGGUGGGGAUGACGUCAAGUCAUCAUGGCCCUUACGAGUAGGGCUACACACGUGCUACAAUGGCGUAUACAAAGAGAAGCGACCUCGCGAGAGCAAGCGGAACUCAUAAAGUACGUCGUAGUCCGGAUUGGAGUCUGCAACUCGACUCCAUGAAGUCGGAAUCGCUAGUAAUCGUAGAUCAGAAUGCUACGGUGAAUACGUUCCCGGGCCUUGUACACACCGCCCGUCACACCAUGGGAGUGGGUUGCAAAAGAAGUAGGUAGCUUAACCUUCGGGAGGGCGCUUACCACUUUGUGAUUCAUGACUGGGGUGAAGUCGUAACAAGGUAACCA